GGUUCAUCAUGUACACCCGACUGUGAUGAGAACUUAAAGCCGAUUGUAGGUAAGACAUUCGAGAGUAUGGAAGCUGUCGAGAAGUUUUACAAGGCUUACGCACACAGUGUUGGAUUUUCAGUUCGAAUUGGGCAGAAAAGGACCGUAGGUAAUGUGGUGGUUUGGAGGAGAUUUCUUUGUUGCAAAGCAGGUUUCCGAACAAUAAAGGAGGAGGAACGAAAGAAGAAUUCAAAGGGAGAGAAGACAAGAACACAUGCAAGAAAGAUUACUAGAUGUGGUUGUGAGGCCAUGAUAACUGUCAAGCAUAUGCAGGAUGGCAAAUAUUGUAUAUCAUAUUUUCAAGAAGAACACACCCAUGAAUUCGUCACACCUAGCAAGCAGCAUUUAAUCAAGUCUAACAGAGAAGUCAGCGAGAAGGCCAAGACCACACUAUUCACAUGUCAUGCAGCUAGCAUUGGCACAUCUGGGGCCUUCCGAUUGCUUCGUGUUGGUGAGGGCGGAUUCUAGUUCGUGGGGUGGACAAAGAGAGACUUGCAAAACUAUCACCGCGACAUGCGAAGCACCUUCAAAGAUACAGAUGCUCAAAUGUUCAUUGACAACCUUAGAAAGAGGAAGAAAAUCAACCCAGGAUUCUUCUUUGACUAUGUUCUUGAUGAUAAAAACCGACUGACGCGUGUCUUUUGGGCAGAUGCUUUUUGUCGGAAGAAUUAUGCUUUAUUUGGCGAAAUGGUGUCUUUUGACUCCACAUAUAGCACCAAUCAGUAUAAGAUGAUAUUUUGUCCUUUCACAGGAAUAAACCACCAUAUGGGAUCAGUUUUCUAUGGUGCCGCCUUGAUUGUUGAUGAGAAGGUAGAGUCAUAUAAAUGGGUGUUCGAAACAUUCUUGAAAGCAAUGGAUGGUGUAGCACCGAGGCUUAUAGUAACUGAUGAAGAUGCUAGUAUGAAGGCUGCCCUUGAUGAAGUUAUGCCGAACACCGUCCAUAGGUUAUGCAUGUGGCAUAUAAUGAGAAAGCUUCCAGAAAAGGUUGGUCCUCCACUGAGAGAGGAUGAACAUUUCUACAGUUCAGUUAACUCAUGUGUAUGGGGAUCUGAAAAUCCAACUGAAUUUGAGGCUAAGUGGUCUUCCAUUUCUGAAUUUGGACUUGAGGAAAACACAUGGUUUGCUAGGAGAUAUGAAAUUCGGAAGUCAUGGAUACCGGCCUAUUUCAGAGGUGUAUUCAUGGGUGAAAUUCUGAGAACCACUUCAAGGUCAGAGAGCGCUAACUCAUUCUUCAACCACUUUAUUGGUUACAAGCAUGCUUUAGUGGAGUUUUGGAUUAGGAUUGGUACAGCCCUAGAGGAACAUCGUCAAAAUGAACUCAAGGCUGACCAUGAUUGCCUCAGUUCCAUGCCUCCUCUGAUUACAUCCUGGGAGAUCGAGAAGCAUGCUAGCAUGUACUUCACCCAUGAGGUUUUCAAAGCUUUUCAGAAGGAAGUGUGUGCAGCUAGAGAACAUUGCUUGAUUGAAAGCAUAUCGCAAGAAGGUGAUGUGAAAACCACGGUUGUAGGUGGUGACCGCUCUUCCAAGUCUAGAGAAGUUCAAUUCAACACAUCAACCAUGAGCGCUCACUGCUCUUGCAUGUUAUUUGAGACACGUGGAAUUCCAUGCCGACAUAUUAUCAUGGUUUUGAGAGGUGCAAAGUUGAAUGAGCUCCCUAGUCAGUUCAUUUUGGAUAGGUGGAAGAAAACAGUUAAUAGGAGAGCCCUAUAUGACAGCUUUGGUAACUUACUUGAAGAAAAUGAGAGGUUACUGCCAAUAAUCCUAGUAGACAAGAUGAAUUUGAGGCAUACAUUGGUUGUACUAUGCCCGGUGAAGUUGAAAUCCAUCCACCAACUGAUGUCCACACAAAGGGAAGAUGCAAAAGAAUUAAGGGACACUUAGACAAGGGUGGGGAAGGGAAGCAAAAUAAGGAUGGGAAAGGAAAGCAAAAUAAGAAUGGAGAGGGGAAGAAAACUGCUGCAGGACCCAAAAAGCCUCGCACAUGCAAGGCGUGCAAGCAAGUUGGUUUCCAUGAUAGUCGUACGUGCCCUAACAAGAGCAAAGAAAUGUAAAGGUAGUUGUCAUACAAAUAGAAUGAUUACUAUUUCAGAAUUCAUUUGUCCAAUACUAACAGUUGUGUUCAUGUCUAUGUGCAGCUUCUUUUAUUUGAUUCGAGGCACCCAGUUGCUUUUAUUUUGGUGUACUUGA
Molecule: ribosomal RNA, 2226 nt
Filed under: Triticum aestivum (bread wheat)
Lineage: Eukaryota; Viridiplantae; Streptophyta; Magnoliopsida; Poales; Poaceae
Description: partial small subunit ribosomal RNA
Source: RNAcentral